CUGGAGAGCCGGGGGGAGGUGGGGUCGCUCGGACAGGGGAGGGGGGAGAUGGCGGUGAGAGCACCAAAAGGACGUAGGUCUGGUGUUUGGGAGGUUGAGGUCUGGUGGUGGUAGCGGGGCUCGGAUGAGGGGGAGGUGUGGCCCGAGGAGGACCAUUCUAUUUAGACACGUCUUCUCUGUGGGACUGGGUUGCUUGGUGAGGGACGAGGGUGAGAGCGGUGCAGUACGAGACAGGGUGAAUAGGUUUCUGGAAGACCAGCCGUUCAGGUUAGUGGCGGUAAGGGGGAGGCGCCGCGCGGGCUACAAUCCCCCCCCUGCAGUUUUCUGGAGGGUCUAGGAGCUGUGUGUCGUGGCAACGCUAACGCUUUUGUGGUUUCGCCGGACUAUCCCGGGCCCCUGCAGUGGUGAUCAGGCUUGUGCGGGAUCCCUUUUCUUUAUAAGGCUACUUUCUCCCCUGGACCAGCCCAGGAAGGGACAGGUGGUGGAGGUCAGUUGUUUUAAGGUGGUUGCAAGACGUCUUGUGGUGUUGAGCUCUCUUAGCCUUUCUCUCUUGGAGGUUUUUUGUUGGCCUGUUAGGUAUAUCAGGAGCCCUCCCCUGCCGGGACUGCCCUAACCGAAUUAUUGUUUGUUUGUUUGUUUUCCCUUCGAAUCCCGUUUUCGUUGGUGGUGUUUUGGGAGGUUGUUUCAGAGAGCCUUUGACUUUGCCCUAGCUGAGACUUGUGGACUCGCUCUAGCGGGACCUGAGAGCCCAUCGUGGUGUAUUCACUGCAGCGCCAUCCCCGGAUGGAGUGGCUGCGGAGUGGCUGCGUAGAGUGUUGGCAGUCUGAGUCGGGGUCGGGAGCACACAAGACUAACCGACUUGUGGUGUGUGCUCCCGACCCUUGCGCUGUGUUUCGGCUUCGGCCCCCGGCUCUCGCAGCCCACAGUGUAAUCUAAGUCAUACAUACAUACAUGCAUACAUGCAUACAUGCAUACAUGCAUACAUGCAUACAUGCAUACAUGCAUACAUGCAUACAUGCAUACAUGCAUACAUGCAUACAUGCAUACAUGCAUACAUGCAUACAUACAUACAUAUGUAUGGAUGAGACCAAGCUUGACUAAGCUGCUACUAUGACCGUCGGCCAACCGCGGCCGUGGCCACCGACAGCGACCUCAAUUGUUUGNNNNNNNNNNNNNNNNNNNNNNNNNNNNNNNNNNNNNNNNNNNNNNNNNNNNNNNNNNNNNNNNNNNNNNNNNNNNNNNNNNNNNNNNNNNNNNNNNNNNNNNNNNNNNNNNNNNNNNNNNNNNNNNNNNNNNNNNNNNNNNNNNNNNNNNNNNNNNNNNNNNNNNNNNNNNNNNNNNNNNNNNNNNNNNNNNNNNNNNNNNNNNNNNNNNNNNNNNNNNNNNNNNNNNNNNNNNNNNNNNNNNNNNNNNNNNNNNNNNNNNNNNNNNNNNNNNNNNNNNNNNNNNNNNNNNNNNNNNNNNNNNNNNNNNNNNNNNNNNNNNNNNNCACGGUUGCUUUAUCCGAUGGGAAGGGAACGGCACAUUGUGAUGGAACUCUCCAUCCUUGAGCCAAAAGGAGGUUUAGCAGUGUUGACAGCGGCCAGGCGCAUCGUUAACGGGCGAUUGCGCGUGCCUGGGGUGCAAUUGACCCCGAACAUGGAGCCGAUGGAAGUGGAGCUGCUGGUGAAGAACCAGCAACAGGCUAAGCCCAUUGUGUGGGAGGUGAGAGGCGUCCCGGUCGGCCUCAGCUGUCAGGGCACGGCCGACUUCCUCCCCGGGCAUACCGGGCAAACCCCAGUCCCCAGGACGUGACGGAAUUCUCGCUCCUGGCCCCCACGACGAUGGCCGACACGUGGAGUGCUGGAGCUUACCAGCAAUCGCGGCCUUCCACGAGAACUCCCGUUUGAAUACGGGGAGCCAUCGGAGGCGUGCCACCAGAAGUGGCACCCUUCAAGCGAUCAGGAAGACCCCCCUGGAAGGGGAACCUUUCCUGAUGCCCCAGCCACCCCCGCGAGCAGCACUCGCCCAGCAGCAAAGGGGAGACGGGGCGGCAACAAGCACCCGCCCAGGCCACAGUGGGCAGGGGAUGGGAGUUGUUGUGGCACACUUGCAUAUUAACCCUCGGAUCUUUCCCCAAUUCUCUGGCACUUUGCCGCUGGGCAAUAUCUUCGCUCUUAUUUGGUUAACCAUUGGGCACUUGCCUAUCUCUUGGGCGCUGGCCCACCUUUAAGCGGGCAAUUGCCUGUCUUUAUCACGCGUGAAACUGGAUUAUAGCGCUCUUGCUAUAAUCGUGACACUUGUCACUGGUAGACCCACUUGGGUUACGAUUGCACCGAUUGGUGAUAAUUCGCGUUGACGACUAUAUCUUCGGACCGUACAGACUUCUGUACGGGUCGUCCUAACGCAGAGGCAUUUAGCCUCUUCUCAUUCACUAAUCGGUAGUUUUCACUACCACCUAAACAGUGGAGGUGGAUACAACAAGUGGUAUCGAGAUGUUCGGUCUCGACCAGCUCUUCCGCACCCAUCUCGAUUGUUAGUAAAGGUCAUAGGCUUACAGUGUUGGAGUGCUCGCGGCGGCUCUUCUGGGUAAGUGAAAGAUCGUAAUCAUCUGUAUUGUUUUGUCCUUGGUUGCCUCGCUCAUUGUUGUUGCAGAGGUUAGAAUGGGUGUGCUGGACCCGACUGAGGUAGAGCCGCUACUUCAAGCUCUCCCCCUAUCCGCGGCAGUGACUGCGUCAUUGCUGUAUUAGGGUAGGCCCUUCUCAGUUAGCUAAAAUGUUUAGCCCCGCCCCGUUUAAUUUGGGCGGCGACCGUAAUGGCGUAGACAUGGCGUCGGGCGCACCUGAUGCUCGUUCCACUUUGCCUGCCUACGCUGUUGCGGGACUUGUUUCCGACCCCGGUGCACCUAGUACUUCUAGAGGUCCGGGCGGCCCUAUUGAGGUCCCUGUUGCUGUUCGCGAACCUGAUGCGCGAACGCCAUUCUCAACUUUUGCCGCAGCACCUUUGUUGCAUAUGCCCACUGGGGCUGCCGAGAAUGUUCGUUUAAGGCCACUUGGCCCUACUGGUGAUGAACGUCUCCACUCCUUGCCUUCUUUGGCCCCUUUUGCUCUGCGCAACCCGCCUAAUACUCACAUGAAUCGUCCGGAUGUUCCAACGGUGAUACCAGAAACCCCGACGACAGAUGCGGACCACCGUGCUGCGGCUGCGCGUGCGUUAGCGGUGGAAGCGGCUGCUGCUGCUGGGGCUGCGGUUGCGGCGGCAGCCGCAGCCGAGCCAGAGCCUUUGCCUUCGGUUCGGCCGAUUUCUUCUGCCUACCUUCCUCGGGUUAGUUUACCGACUCCUGUUUUGCAGCUAGAUGCCAAGCUUGAUGCGAAGCAGACUGCUGCCCGCGUCAAGGCGUUUAUUCGUGACGCGUCUUUGUUUUUCGAAAUCGUGCCCUGGGGUAGGGACCAUCGUUCUUGCUGCCUGUUUUUGUCGCAAGCGCUCCUUGGCGCUGCAAAAACGUGGUAUGAUGAGUGGUCCCUAUCGCAGCGCGAACUCACUGCUCAGCUUGUUCUGGAUAACCUGCGUACGCGUUUCGCUCCUCAAGUUAUCUCUGUAGAACAAGAAGCACGACGUAGGCUCUCUGAAAAAUCUUUUGCGAUGCGUGCUAGUGAAAGUGUACCAGCUUACCUUUCGCGUCUUGAGGCCGUCUUCCAAGACAUACCCACGAUCACUCCUAGUGAGCGUAUGUUUUGGUUUUUCGAAGGCCUUUCUUCUUCCCUGCAGCCCCAUUGCGCCACAGACGUCUAUGGAAAGCCGUUUCCCUCUUACGACGCCCUGGUACAGCAUGCCUUGGGCCAGGAAGUGCGCGCCCUGUCUGAACGAAAAGUCCGUUCUGCUCUUCGUUCGAAUUCUGUUGUUUUGCAGGAUUAUGACGAAGAUGGGCCUCCAGUCAAGCGGGCGCGCGUGGACCCCGGUCCUCGUCUCGCUGCAGCUGUUGCUGGGGCCCCUAGGCAGACGGGAUGCGGAAGCGGUCCUGGGCGUAAUAGUCAUGGGGGUAGAACAGGUUCACGUGGCGGGCGCGGGGAUAGGGGUCGCGGCACUGGCCGUCCCAGUGCACCCGCUGGCGGAGAAUCCGCCACUCCGUUGGCGAAAGCUUGCGAGUUGACCAAGUGGGUCAACCAGUUCGGCCGUAGGUUGACGCACGGGGAGGUGGGAAUUCUCCGACAGCGUGCGGGCGGUAAGGCCGUCUGUUUUUGUUGUGAGGUGGUUAGUCCCGACCACCUCUACGACAACUGUCCCGCUCUCAAAAGGUUGUGUGAAGCGGGGCUGUGCUAGGAAUUUGCUCAGGGCGGUAUUGAGGGAUAUUACCCUGAGCUUCCUUUUGCGGGGAUUCGUUCUUUGGUCCGCGCGGUUAGACCCGCUGCGUUGGCAGAGUUUGAGAGUGCCGUUGGACGCCGUUUUUCUUUUGACGCCGUUGCUGUCAAACCGGGCUUUGACUCGGAAUGUAACAUAACGGUUCCUCGUGGUCGCACUCUCUGCUCGGUCGAUGUUGGUGGUCAUACUGUGCUUUUUGUCCCUGCAUCCCUCACUCAAUUGCGCGUUUCACUUCGGCACUACCUUGCAUGCAAGCACCGCCGUCCUGACACCGCGGCCGGCAUUUUGCUACCUUCGCAUAUCGCUCGGCGGGCUUCGAUGUUGCUAGCAGGUAUGUGCCGAGUGCUUACGUUUCCUGCGAAGUCCGUCCUUUUCAAUGGCCUUUCGCUUGAGGGUAAAACAGUAGAGCUUCCUGGUAUUCCGUACCCUGCUGAGUUGUGGUACGAUGCACCUUCACCUUGCCUCUCUGUUGCCCGGGAGCCCUUUGCUUCCUCUCUUUGCGCAGUUGCCUCCGGUUCUGUGGACACACGAGUUGCUUUGCCUCUGGUGUCUCUGCGGACUGGUGGCCAAACGUUUUCGGCAUUGGUGGACACAGGUGCUACUCACGACUUUAUUAGUGAGUCCCUUGUCCAACGGCUACACCUCCCGGUCCGCUCUUCGGACUGGUCCCAUGUUUCGCUCGCUGACGGAGGUAGGCAAGCAAUCGUGGGUCAGGUGUUGUUUCGCGUGGCAGUCGGGUCUUUGUACCUAACCGUCUCACCAUACGUUUUGCCGUCCUUGACUGAUGCUGCUCCUUUUAUUCUGGGGUCUGAUACUUUGCGUAAGCACUCUGCAUCCCUGGAUUUUCAGAACAAUAUUUUGCGUUUGUCAAAGGGUACUGUUCGGUACUCGAUUCCUUGGCGCGUGUCUUCUAAGGAUUCAGGUGACAGUGGUGCUGCCUCGUCGGCGCCCCUUGUUAAUUUUGCGGCUGCGGCCAUGUGUGCGCACGCCACCCCUGAGUCUAUUGGUCGUAAGGCUGCUAUGCGUCUUAUUCGCAAAGGGGCACAUGCUUUACUGGUUCGUCCUUCGGUUAGCCUUAACGCCACUUCUGUGAUUCCUCCCACUCAGGACCCUGAAGUUUCCGCACUGCUUGAGGAAUACGCUGAUGUCUUCCGGGAAAUUCCGGGUAUUCCUCCAGUCCGUCCGGUGGAUCACACAAUUCCGUUGGUGCCUGACGCCCAACCCGUCGCACGCCCUAUGUACCGACUUAGCCCUCUUGAGCUUGAUGAGGUCAAACGGCAGGUUACUGAGCUGCUUGCUAAAGGCAUGAUUCGCCCGAGUACGUCUCCCUUCUCUGCCCCGAUCUUGUUUGUGGGUAAGAAGGACGGUUCCCUACACAUGUGCAUAGACUACCGUGGGUUGAAUUCCAUGACCACUAAGAAUCGGUACCCUCUUCCGCGUGUAGACGAUUUGCUCGAUAAGCUUCGCGGGUCUGCUUACUUUAGCUCUAUAGAUCUGCAGCAGGGAUAUAAUGGACCCUAAGAAGACUGCUGCGGUGCGUGACUGGCCUGUCCCGACGUCCUUGCUUGAGCUGCGAAAGUUCCUAGGACUUACCAAUUACUUCCGCAAGUUUAUAGCCAAUUACUCGUCUCUCACCGCGCCGUUGACGAGUCUUACGCGCAAGGGAGCGUUUUCUUCCGCUGACGUUUGGACUGCUGAAUGUCAGGCGUCUUUUGAGGCUAUAAAACGUGCUGUUGCGGACGAUAUAGUGCUGCGUUUUCCCGAUUACUCUCAGCCUUUCCGUGUUGAGCUUAUUUCCGACGCCUCGCUGCACGGUACGGGGGCAGUUUUGCUUCAGAACGGUCGUCCUGUCGCGUUUUCCAGCAAGAAAUUUUCUGCUGCCGAACGCGGCUACACCACGGGUGAACAAGAGCUACUAGCCGUUGUUCACGCCCUGCGCGAAUGGCGCUGCUAUCUUGAGGGACGCCCGUUCGUUGUCAAAACCGACCACAAGCCUCUAACCUUCCUGCAGGGUGUUCCGACUCUUAACUGCCGCCAGGCGCGGUGGUUAGAAUAUAUGCAGCGUUUUAACUUCACUUGGGAACAUGUGUCUGGUUCUGUUAACGUUGCUGAUGCUUUGAGUCGCCAUCCUUCCUUGCACUCUGUCGUCCUGUCGGUUGUGACUUGACGUCAGUCUGUGGCUGCCGAUUUGACGAUUUCUGCUUUUGCUAAACGAAUCGUGGACGGAUACAAAACCGACCCUUGGUUCAACGAUCCCAAUAACGUCGACCAGUUGACCCGUGUCCAGGGUCUCUGGGUUCGCACUGAUGGUGAUCGACGUCAAACGGUUGUCCCUAAUGAUGAUUUGCUUCGCCGUGAUAUCCUUUCCCGUGUGCAUCAGGAUCCACUUUCCGGUCAUGUGGGUUCUACUCGCCUUAUUGAGUUGCUACGUCGCAACUUCUGGUGGCCACGGAUGGCUCGUGAUGCUGCUUCCUUUGUUGAGCAGUGUGACGUUUGCCAACGGCAGAAGCCAAUGUCUGGUAAGCAAUCGGGCCUGCUUCAGCCCUUGCCGAUCCCAGACUCGCCUUGGGAGAGUGUGUCGCUUGACUAUGUCGUCGCACUUCCUCUUUCCGAGGGGGGAUACGACGCUGUCCUCGUCAUUGUUGACCGCUUGACCAAGAUGGUACAUUUGGUACCGACCACCACGACAGUUACUGCGGAGCAAACCGCUCGACUGUUCUUUGAUAACGUGGUGCGUCUGCAUGGUGUUCCCAAACAAAUUAUUUCUGAUAGAGGACCUCAGUUUGGUGCCAAGUUUUGGGGAGCCCUUGGCACUUUGGCUAAUUUCCGAGUAAGCCUUUCUACUGCCUACCAUCCACAAACUGACGGUCAGACUGAGCGAAUGAAUCGCACUUUGGGUGAUAUGCUGCGUACUUACGCUGGCCACAACCCUCGUGUUUGGGACACCUAUCUUUCGGCUGCAGAAUUCGCGAUGAACAACGCUGUCAAUCGCUCUACGGGACAAUCUCCUUUCUUCUUAAAUUACGGGUUCCACCCAGCUACUCCCGUCUCACGUGAACUUGAUGUUCCGGUCCCGGCAGCCAAAUCCUUUAUUAAGUCGUACGUUGCUCGUAUUGCAGAAGCGAAGCAGUGUCUGGAAAAAGCCAUAGANNNNNNNNNNNNNNNNNNNNNNNNNNNNNNNNNNNNNNNNNNNNNNNNNNUUUUAUUCUGGGGUCUGAUACUUUGCGUAAGCACUCUGCAUCCCUGGAUUUUCAGAACAAUAUUUUGCGUUUGUCAAAGGGUACUGUUCGGUACUCGAUUCCUUGGCGCGUGUCUUCUAAGGAUUCAGGUGACAGUGGUGCUGCCUCGUCGGCGCCCCUUGUUAAUUUUGCGGCUGCGGCCAUGUGUGCGCACGCCACCCCUGAGUCUAUUGGUCGUAAGGCUGCUAUGCGUCUUAUUCGCAAAGGGGCACAUGCUUUACUGGUUCGUCCUUCGGUUAGCCUUAACGCCACUUCUGUGAUUCCUCCCACUCAGGACCCUGAAGUUUCCGCACUGCUUGAGGAAUACGCUGAUGUCUUCCGGGAAAUUCCGGGUAUUCCUCCAGUCCGUCCGGUGGAUCACACAAUUCCGUUGGUGCCUGACGCCCAACCCGUCGCACGCCCUAUGUACCGACUUAGCCCUCUUGAGCUUGAUGAGGUCAAACGGCAGGUUACUGAGCUGCUUGCUAAAGGCAUGAUUCGCCCGAGUACGUCUCCCUUCUCUGCCCCGAUCUUGUUUGUGGGUAAGAAGGACGGUUCCCUACACAUGUGCAUAGACUACCGUGGGUUGAAUUCCAUGACCACUAAGAAUCGGUACCCUCUUCCGCGUGUAGACGAUUUGCUCGAUAAGCUUCGCGGGUCUGCUUACUUUAGCUCUAUAGAUCUGCAGCAGGGAUAUAAUGGACCCUAAGAAGACUGCUGCGGUGCGUGACUGGCCUGUCCCGACGUCCUUGCUUGAGCUGCGAAAGUUCCUAGGACUUACCAAUUACUUCCGCAAGUUUAUAGCCAAUUACUCGUCUCUCACCGCGCCGUUGACGAGUCUUACGCGCAAGGGAGCGUUUUCUUCCGCUGACGUUUGGACUGCUGAAUGUCAGGCGUCUUUUGAGGCUAUAAAACGUGCUGUUGCGGACGAUAUAGUGCUGCGUUUUCCCGAUUACUCUCAGCCUUUCCGUGUUGAGCUUAUUUCCGACGCCUCGCUGCACGGUACGGGGGCAGUUUUGCUUCAGAACGGUCGUCCUGUCGCGUUUUCCAGCAAGAAAUUUUCUGCUGCCGAACGCGGCUACACCACGGGUGAACAAGAGCUACUAGCCGUUGUUCACGCCCUGCGCGAAUGGCGCUGCUAUCUUGAGGGACGCCCGUUCGUUGUCAAAACCGACCACAAGCCUCUAACCUUCCUGCAGGGUGUUCCGACUCUUAACUGCCGCCAGGCGCGGUGGUUAGAAUAUAUGCAGCGUUUUAACUUCACUUGGGAACAUGUGUCUGGUUCUGUUAACGUUGCUGAUGCUUUGAGUCGCCAUCCUUCCUUGCACUCUGUCGUCCUGUCGGUUGUGACUUGACGUCAGUCUGUGGCUGCCGAUUUGACGAUUUCUGCUUUUGCUAAACGAAUCGUGGACGGAUACAAAACCGACCCUUGGUUCAACGAUCCCAAUAACGUCGACCAGUUGACCCGUGUCCAGGGUCUCUGGGUUCGCACUGAUGGUGAUCGACGUCAAACGGUUGUCCCUAAUGAUGAUUUGCUUCGCCGUGAUAUCCUUUCCCGUGUGCAUCAGGAUCCACUUUCCGGUCAUGUGGGUUCUACUCGCCUUAUUGAGUUGCUACGUCGCAACUUCUGGUGGCCACGGAUGGCUCGUGAUGCUGCUUCCUUUGUUGAGCAGUGUGACGUUUGCCAACGGCAGAAGCCAAUGUCUGGUAAGCAAUCGGGCCUGCUUCAGCCCUUGCCGAUCCCAGACUCGCCUUGGGAGAGUGUGUCGCUUGACUAUGUCGUCGCACUUCCUCUUUCCGAGGGGGGAUACGACGCUGUCCUCGUCAUUGUUGACCGCUUGACCAAGAUGGUACAUUUGGUACCGACCACCACGACAGUUACUGCGGAGCAAACCGCUCGACUGUUCUUUGAUAACGUGGUGCGUCUGCAUGGUGUUCCCAAACAAAUUAUUUCUGAUAGAGGACCUCAGUUUGGUGCCAAGUUUUGGGGAGCCCUUGGCACUUUGGCUAAUUUCCGAGUAAGCCUUUCUACUGCCUACCAUCCACAAACUGACGGUCAGACUGAGCGAAUGAAUCGCACUUUGGGUGAUAUGCUGCGUACUUACGCUGGCCACAACCCUCGUGUUUGGGACACCUAUCUUUCGGCUGCAGAAUUCGCGAUGAACAACGCUGUCAAUCGCUCUACGGGACAAUCUCCUUUCUUCUUAAAUUACGGGUUCCACCCAGCUACUCCCGUCUCACGUGAACUUGAUGUUCCGGUCCCGGCAGCCAAAUCCUUUAUUAAGUCGUACGUUGCUCGUAUUGCAGAAGCGAAGCAGUGUCUGGAAAAAGCCAUAGACCGUACGACUAACUAUUACAACCGCGGCAGAGCCGAAGUUACCUUCAAAGAAGGCGACUUAGUGCUUUUAAGUACGAAAAAUCUGCGGCAGUUAGCCGUCGGACCUCGUAAACUAUUGCCGCGGUGGGUGGGUCCUUACCCUGUGAAGCGCAUGGUUGGCAAAGCAGCGGCCGAGCUUGUCCUACCGUCUGAUAUGCGCAUCCACCCCACCUUCCACGUAACGUUGUUGCGGCCUUACAAGGCGCCGGCGGAUGCGUUGGAUUCUUCAACUGUUCGCGACAGUUCUUCUGCACUUUCUAGUCCUGCAGGACCGCCGCCGGUUCAGUGGCUGAAGAGCGAUCCACUUUACUCGGUCGAGUGCAUACUGGAUUAUCGUGCCCGCCGCCUAGGAAGACGCCGUAAGGGGCUGGUGCACGAGUACCUCGUCAAAUGGACCGGGUAUUCCAAUGAACAUAAUAGCUGGGAGCCAGAGAAACACUUUACGCCCGACCUUCGCCCCGAACUUCAAGCAGUUAAGGCUCGUGCCACUAACACUGCGAGGACGCUGCGUCCUGAGGGGGGAUAGUUGUUGUGGCACACUUGCAUAUUAACCCUCGGAUCUUUCCCCAAUUCUCUGGCACUUUGCCGCUGGGCAAUAUCUUCACUCUUAUUUGGUUAACCAUUGGGCACUUGCCUAUCUCUUGGGCGCUGGCCCACCUUUAAGCGGGCACUUGCCUGUCUUUAUCACGCGUGAAACUGGAUUAUAGCGCUCUUGCUAUAAUCGUGACACUUGUCACUGGUAGACCCACUUGGGUUACGAUUGCACCGAUUGGUGAUAAUUCGCGUUGACGACUAUAUCUUCGGACCGUACAGACUUCUGUACGGGUCGUCCUAACGCAGAGGCAUUUAGCCUCUUCUCAUUCACUAAUCGGUAGUUUUCACUACCACCUAAACAGUGGAGGUGGAUACAACAGGAGUACAGGGGCAACUGACCAGAUUCUUGAGCCCGAUGGAUUUCGAUGCCAUCCAGAGAGACAGGGGUCACUGCUCUGGCGCAGCAGAGGGGGGGCCUGCAGGAGUUAACCCUCUGGGACCCCCCAGCGGCCCCAAGCCCAGAAGGGCGGUGGAUGAUGGCAGCGGGCUGAAUGGAGUGAGGGGGGGCAAGGGGGACAACAGCGGCAGUGGCCCCUCUAUCCCACCCCAGGGCAGUAGUGAAGGUGAUGCUGAGACGAGCUGGACAGUGAUGGGCAGGAAGGGGAGGAAGACCCCGGCGACGGCUGCAAAGGCUGCACCAGCAGAGACCAACCCCUUUUUGGUGCUGGCGGAGCUGAGGGGAGAGGAGGACGCCCCCACAGAUUUUCCUGCUCCAAUGGGGGGGAAUGACACCUAUGGCCACACAACAACCGGGGGACCAGCAGCAGCAACAACAUCCCCCGCAGCGAACCCCAAUGGGAUUUCUUCCACACCCACGGCCACGGCCGUGAAAGGAGCGCCGGCGGCAGCAGCACUGCCGGGGGCACCAGAAGCAGCAGCACUAGACCCAACCCCACCCCCCGCAGCGAACCCCAAUGGGAUUUCUUCCACACCCACGGCCACGGCCGUGAAAGGAGCGCCGGCGGCAGCAGCACUGCCGGGGGCACCAGAAGCAGCAGCACUGGACCCAACCCCACCCCCCGCAGCGAACCCCAAUGGGAUUUCAUCCGCACCCACGGCCACGGCCGUGGAAGGAGCACCGGCGACAGCAGCACUGCCGGGGGCACCAGAAGCAGUAGUACUGGACCUAACCCCACCCUCAGCGGCACCGGACCUCCAUAAGGGGAAAGCAUGCAAGCCCCGCAAGACCCAAGGAAUAAAGAAAAUCCGCAGGCCAGACCUGACGGGGGAAGCCAGGCGCACGUUCUUUCUGGCGCAAACAGCUGCAGCCCGAGCAGCCCGCAAACAAUCCGCAGAACUGGACCAGCGAACUAAGGACCAGAAGCGGCUGAUCCAUAAAACGUCGGCAGCGGAGAGACGCAGCGAGCUUAUCCAGUCUGCCCGUAAGCAGAAGGCGAAAGAUGCCGAAGCCACCCAGGGGACCCAGGCCUCGGGGAGGGAGCUGGGGACUGCUGCAGCGGAGGGGGACGACACGAUUAUGGAGGCGGAAUCGAUGGGCUCCCCAUCCCAGAGCCUAAUAUUACACCUCCCCACCGCCUCCCAACCUGGUUUUAAAGACCAGCCCACUGCCACCCCCACCCAACUCUGUUGAUGGAAGCAACGACCACAAUCAAGUGCCAACAGGGCGCAAUGCAGGGACGGCCACUUCGUAUUGCAACACAGAACAUGCAGGGUCUGCUGGCCAAACACAAGGACAAGAUUCAUGCAGCAGCCAAACAGUGGAUAGAGAUGGGGCUGGAUGUGAUCUGCCUGCAGGAAACCCACCACACCAAUGCCCACCACCAAUCCCUGUUUGAACGCGAGCUAAGCAUGGCAGCUGCAACAGCCCACAGCCAGGGCUGGCGAGUAGUGGCCAGCUCGUGGUCUAACUCCAUCCACACGGGGGGCGUCCUUACCCUCGUCCGACAAGGCCUAACAGCUACCGUGGAGACCAAGCCUAAUAAGCCGAGUGUACAGGGUCGGCUGACGAGCUGCCUGCUUCGCUGGGGAGGACACUGCAUUGAGGUCUGCAACAUCUAUGUCCCCACCGGCACUACUCAUAGAGCAGCAGCCCUCAGGCAAGAACUGAUCAGCAACAUCCUGGCAGCAACGGCCACGCAGGCAGAUACAAACAAUGACACCACCCUUAUAUGGGCGGGGGACUUCAACUUUGUCGAAAACCCAGUGCUGGACUCCACAGCGGGGGAGGAUGGGCGGAGGGGAGAUGGCCCCAUAGCAGAAAUGCUCCGCACAGCUGGGCCAGCCAUGAUGGAUAGUCACCGUCAGCUUCAUCCCCUGCGCCAUGACUACACCCACCUCUACCGAGCGCCCCGCCCAGGAGGCUCCCGACUGGAUCGCAUUUAUGUGAAUCAAGCCGUGAUGCCGUAUGUUGCUCGCACGGAGAUUAUCCAGCACACCCCCUCAGAUCACCAGCCGAUGGUCCUACACCUGCUGCCUCGCCGGGUUGAACAGAGGGGCCCGGGCAUUCGCCGGGUGCGCAUGGCCUUCACGGCGCAUGAAGACCUGGCCACGAGCCUGGAGGCCUGGAUUACCGACCAGUGUGCCGCGGCCCCAUCUGUGGAGGACAAUCCUGCUGGCCUGAUCGAGUGGUGGCCUGCCUUCAAACGCCGCCUCGCUACUCGUGCACAUCAGCUCAACAAAACAGCGCAACAUCGCAGGCUGCACCCAGGAGCCCGUGUACAAGCAGCCCUACCAGCAGUCCAGCAGGCCCGACAAAGGGUCGACACAGAGCCCGGAGCACAGCAGCCCUUACAGCAACUGGUGGACGCACAGGCGGCACUAGCACGGGCCCACCGAGAGGACUGCAGCAAGGAGGCGAUGGAGGCCCGCAUACACUGGCUACGGGCAGGGGAGCGGCCGAGCCCAGCCAUGACUGCAUUCAUCCAGGCCCAAAGCGCGGACCAACAACCAGCUCCCGUCGCCCUGCAAGCCCAGUCCGGCCGCCUAGUGACUAAUCCUAGCCAGCUUCCCCAGGUGGUCGCAGACUUCUGGAGUGAAGUGAGCCGAACUCCCAACUACAUCUGCCCCCAAGCCCAGCAGGAGGUGCUAAACUCCCUGGCGGCCGCCAACAUCUCGCUACCCGCAGAGGCAGAUGAACAGCUGGGAUCCAGAACCAUCACGGCCACCGAGUUACGAAAGGCUCUUAAGAAAAGCCAGCCUGGCAAGGCCCCGGGGUGGGACGGCAUCCCAGCCGACAUCUACAGGAAAUUCUGGUCGGCCAUUGGCACCACCAUGGCUGGCCUGCUCACCGCCAUAGGCUUGACGGGGCAGGUGCCGAAGGGCUUCUUGGAGGGGGUACUGACGGUGAUCUACAAAAAAGGCGACCCCAAACUCCCUGGCAACUACCGUCCUAUCACCCUGCUUUGUUCGGACUACCGACUGCUCACCAAAGUGCUGGCCAACCGCCUAAGCCCUGCCCUUGGCCAAGUCAUAACCCCCGAGCAAUCAGCCUUCCUACCUAGGCGCCUCAUUGGAGCUAGUGUGCUAUUCCUGCGUCACCUGUCACACCUCCUUCGCAAGCAGAACCGCCGGGGGCUCCUGGCAUUCCUGGACUUCGCCAAGGCCUAUGACACGGUGGAUCGUGGGUUCCUCCUGGCAGCAAUGGAGACCAUGGGUGCAGGGCCACAGCUCUGCGCCUGGGUACGGCUGCUGCUGAGCGAAACACGAGCCAGAGCGAUGGUGAAUGGCUACAAAUCGAAGCUGGUGAACAUGGAAGCAGGGGUACGGCAAGGGUGCCCCCUCACACCCUUGCUCUACCUCUUCGUUGCUCAGGCCCUACAAUGCUGACUCCGGAGCCAAGACGUGGGGAUCAAAUUACAGCCAGCCGACUCACAACCAGUCACCGCGUGCCAAUAUGCGGAUGACACGGAAGUGGCGCUGCAGGGUGAAGACUCAGUACCAUCAUUCCUCCAGGCCAUGGACACCUUUGCCCGGGUGUCUGGCCAACGCCUAAAUCUCGACAAAGUGGAGCUGCUGUGGAUUGGCCAAUUAAACCAACAGCAGGCGCAACCUGCAACCCAGGCCGGACCCCAAUCAGCUGCCCCUCAGCAGGAGUCAAUAGGAGGUCUCAAGGUGGUGACCACCGCCACCGCCCUGAACCCGCCAAUUGACAACCAGCCAUCCCCGCCACAGCCCGACUGGAUGAAGAGACUCAGGGAAGCCAAGCGGCGACUGCAGCGGCUCUCCCGCUUCCCGCUAUCAGCAUUUGGUCGAGCCACAGCGGCAUCGGUGUACGGAAUGCACACAGUCACCUGGCACAUGGAGCAUGGUGGGCCGCCCCCCAACCGUACGCUGGACGAAAUAGAACGCCUAACGGCCCGCCUCGUCGACCGGCAGCAGGGCCCAGAAGACCCCGGCCGCCGUUUGACAGGGGUGCCUAAGGAUCUCUUGACCGGCCACCCGUCGGCUGGAGGCUUUGGCCUGCUGCCCCUCCAGCAACACAUCCAGGCUCGGCAUGCGGUAUGGGCUGUGCACUUCAUCAUAGCGGCCCUCGGGCUAUCUAACGCGUCAUGUGGGACAGGGACAGGUGGAGCUGCAGGAACCACAGGUGGUACCGGGGGACACGGGAGGGCAGAUGGUAGUCUCCAUCCCUGGGUCCGGACGCUCUCCGCCUAUAUGCUGCUCACCCACCCCGCCUUCCAACCGUGGGCCCUGACGACCGCCAGCCAAGCCGGGCCCCGACUCGGCGGAAGCGACCUACCCACGGAUAUCAGCCGGAUUGUGGGAGCCCUGGGACACCUACCACCGCUCCGGGAUAUCGAGACCAGCCCCCUGUCCCCCGGACCGUGGUGCUGGGCAACCGUGUUGUGGGGUAACCCGUUGCUCCCCAAUACCGGCGAGGCAGACCCAGACAGUUUGAACCGCCGCCCGGGCCUGGAGACGCACUUCGUGGGGAUCGCUACAUGCAGGAAACUGCAAACGGUGGGCGACCUAGUGCGGGUCUGGGACCUAGUGGUGCAUACUCGAGUGGCCUCCCUCCCCAGGUCGACCUGGCCCGAAUGGGUCAGGACACACCUCGACCCAUCAACCCCAGCACCCACACGAGACAGGUCAGCGACCCUGGCAGCCCUUAAGACGCUACAUGGCGCUAUCAACCCGGCCUGGCUCGAAGCUGCAAGAGCAGUGGAAACCCAACAGCAACAGCAACCCCAGCCGCAGACACAGCUGCAGCCACAGCCGCAGUCACAGCCACAGCCGCAGCCACAGCCGCAGCCACAGCCGCAGCCACAGCCGCAGCCACAGCCGCAGCCACAGCCGCAGCCACAGCCGCAGCCACAGCCGCAGCUACAGCCGCAGCCUCAGCCGCAGCCACAGCCGCAGGUACAGCCACAACAGCUGCAAACACAACCACAGCUACAGACACAGCAUCAGCCGCAGCCGCAACAGCAGCAACAGCCACAGCAACAGCUACAGAUGCAGCCGCAUGAGCAGCAACCCCAACAGCAGCAGCCAGGGAGGCCAACGGCGGGGGAUAUGGCGGCUCCAAGCACCCCCAACAGCACUCAGGCGAUGGCUAUGAUCCUAAAGUGGGUCGGAUGGCAGAUGCCGGGCGGCACAACAACCGUCCCACUCACACGCCUGACGGUCCGCCUAGCGACACAGCUGCAAUGCGGGGCCACCGAGGAGAAACGGGGACGCUUGAUGGCAGCAUUUGUGCAAGAAGUGUUGCACCCGCAGGAAACGGCACCUUCCUCCUCAGUGGAAACAAGCCGCUUCAGGGCGACGCAAGCCCGCUUGUGGUCGGGGGUGCGGUGGGAGAACGAGAACAAAGAAACACUGUGGCGGCUCACCGUGGACGGCAUCCCCCUGCCCGGCAACACGCACCUGGCCCGCAUGGUGCCGGAGCGCUGUGGGUGUGGAGGGUUCGGCAACGCCAGCAACCAGCACUGCUCCCCACGCAUGCACCACUUCUGGGAGUGCCCCGUCGCACAAGCUGUCCGGGAGCAGAUUGAUCGACACAUACAGCCCUCCCAGGAGGCAGCGACAGGCGGCAUCACCCGGAAGCAGCUGUGGUUGGUCCAAGCCCCGACCGGCUGCGAGCAGGCCCCCUGGGAUGUGAUCGCCCUGGCAGCCCUGUCUGCCAUGGAGGUAGGCAGGUGCUGUCUGCGAGCAGCCGGAAGGCGACUGGAAAGGGCGGCUAACCCCGCGACAGAACAGCCAGAGCAAGUGCAACAGAUCCAGGUGCAAGGGCCCCAACAGCGGCGGAUAACGGACUUCUUUCACCUGGCCAACGGAGUGAGACCGCACGAGGGGCCGCCGCUGAACGCGCCGGUACUCGAGGAUCCAACGCAGGGGCCCAUCGCGGGACCGGGGACGGCAACAGCAGCAGCAACAGCAGCAGCAACAGCAGCAGCAGCAGCAGCAACAGCAGCAGCAACCCCCCUGGAAUACGCCCGUGCUCGGGCAGUAGUGGACUUCUGGGCGCGCUUGCGCUCUUUCACCACGCUUAAUGUCCCAAGGCGGGGCUGGGACGAAGUGGGACCCCACCACCCGAUCCUGUCAAUCGUCGGGGGAGCACUGCGCUGCGCGAAGGCGGUGGACAUCACGACCUAAUGGUCAAGCGGACACGGCGGGAGCUGGAGUUUAGGGGAUAAGGGGAUAGGGUGUCGAGGCGCGGAGGGGGGUUUUGAGGUGGUGGGGGUGGUAGGGAGGUCGAGAGGGAGGUUGAGGGGAUAUGUUGCGAGGGGGGCGGGAUCAGGGAUGGGGCUUGGGGGGUUGCCGUGCAAGGGGACAUGGGGGAGGGAGGGUUUAUUUGCCUGGGGGAGCCGUACCUGCGGAGGGGGGGGAGACCGGGGAAAGGGCGGGGAGAGCCGGGGGGGGAGGGGAAGAGGUAGAGAGUACACCAAGAGGAUGUAGGGUUGAGGGGUGGUGAGUGGAAACAGGUGGCCGUAGCGAGGGCGCGGAUGAGGGGGAGGUGGGCACCCAGAAGGGGGGGCCGUACUCGAAGGUGCGCGUGUGGUGCAGGACUAGGUUCUUCAGGGUACGAGACCGGGUUUUUCGUGGUGCGGCGUCUAGGUGAGAUAGGAUCUUGGGAACCAGCCGUCUUGGUAGAGCGGUAUUGGGGGGGCGCCGAGCUGGCUACCCUCCCCCCCUGUGGUUUCCGGAGGCUUGAUCGCCCGGCGUUGCCGCAGGGUCUUCCCGUUUGAGUACUUUUCAAUUUAGACCCAGUGCUGUGGAAGGGCGCGGACUUGUGCGGUGUUACCCCCUCGACGGGGGCUAUCUCCCCUGGACUAGCCCAGGGAGGGAGAGGCGGAGGAGGGUAGUAGUCUCAGGAGGCUGUUUGGCGUCUUGUGGUGUGAGCUCUAUGCGCUCUUUUUUGCGUGAGGAUUUUUGAGCUUGGUCACCUCCCCAGCCCGGGAAGACUCGUUGGGCUCCCGGUCGCCCAAGUCCUGGUAGCGAGCUCUCUGAGAUGCUCGGUUCGUUCGGUCGGCAGGUAGAGCCCCCCAGUUGAGACUUCGUUUAGGUUAGGAGACCAACGGGCAUAGAUCCCGUCUAGUUGGAGCGCCAAACAAGCGCUGUUGCGUGCCGGCCGUCGUUUCCCGUGCGGCCUGACCCGGGGGCGGAGUGCAUGAGACUAACCAGCCGUAUGCACCCGCCCCCCGCGCUGUGCUUCGGCCCUGGGCCCCCGGCUUUUCAGCCCACAGUGUAAUCAACGUCAUACAUACAUACAUGGAUGAGACCAAGCUUGACUAAGCUGCUACUAUGACUGUUGGCCAACCGCGGCCGUGGCCACCGACAGCGACCUCAAUUGUUUGAGCGUAGUUAUGUUUAUCUAAUUAGCCUGAAAAUGUUGCAGAGGCGAGCAGCAGUGUCUGUUAGCUGCGGCAAUGUUCAAAAUGGCCGCCAGCCGACCUCAGCCGUGAGACCGCAAUCCAUACCGACCAAAAAGAUAAAGGCCGUCAGUGGCUUUUACGGAACAAAUGAAGGCUUGGCUAUCUACAGAGCCACACUAGAACUGGAACCGAUCGUGGUGACAGUCCGGUGGCCAGCGGGCUCAGAUACGGGCGACAUCAUCGCGCAAAUAUACGGUCCAUUAGGACUUCAAAUUCUGGCAACAAUUGGCCAAAUCUUCCGCAGCAACCAGGAGUUCAACCGUAUACUAAGGGUUUUAUACAUACAUGCAUACAUACAUGCAUACAUGCAUGCAUACAUGCAUACAUACAUGCAUACAUGCAUACAUACAUGCAUACAUGCAUGCAUACAUGCAUACAUACAUGCAUACAUGCAUGCAUACAUGCAUACAUANN
RNAcentral lists this long non-coding RNA (18773 nucleotides) under Volvox carteri. RNAcentral's name for it is "long non-coding RNA (VCAR_LNC003435)". The record is from RNAcentral. Lineage: Eukaryota; Viridiplantae; Chlorophyta; Chlorophyceae; Chlamydomonadales; Volvocaceae.